UACGUAGGGUGCAAGCGUUGUCCGGAAUUAUUGGGCGUAAAGAGCUCGUAGGCGGUUUGUCGCGUCGGCUGUGAAAACCCGAGGCUCAACCUCGGGCCUGCAGUCGAUACGGGCAGACUUGAGUGUUGCAGGGGAGACUGGAAUUCCUGGUGUAGCGGUGAAAUGCGCAGAUAUCAGGAGGAACACCGGUGGCGAAGGCGGGUCUCUGGGCAACAACUGACGCUGAGGAGCGAAAGCGUGGGGAGCGAACAGGAUUAGAAACCCCCGUAGUCC
This 273-nucleotide ribosomal RNA is filed under the name uncultured bacterium. Its description in RNAcentral is "partial 16S ribosomal RNA". It matches the Rfam family "Bacterial small subunit ribosomal RNA", at positions 524 to 796 of the family's 1533-position model. The record is from RNAcentral.